UGGGGAAUAUUGCACAAUGGGCGCAAGCCUGAUGCAGCCAUGCCGCGUGUGUGAAGAAGGCCUUCGGGUUGUAAAGCACUUUCAGCGAGGAGGACGGGUAGUGUGUUAAUAGCACAUUGCAUUGACGUUACUCGCAGAAGAAGCACCGGCUAACUCCGUGCCAGCAGCCGCGGUAAUACGGAGGGUGCAAGCGUUAAUCGGAAUUACUGGGCGUAAAGCGCACGCAGGCGGUUUGUUAAGUCAGAUGUGAAAUCCCCGCGCUUAACGUGGGAACUGCAUUUGAAACUGGCAAGCUAGAGUCUUGUAGAGGGGGGUAGAAUUCCAGGUGUAGCGGUGAAAUGCGUAGAGAUCUGGAGGAAUACCGGUGGCGAAGGCGGCCCCCUGGACAAAGACUGACGCUCAGGUGCGAAAGCGUGGGGAGCAAACA
This 427-nucleotide ribosomal RNA is filed under the name uncultured bacterium. RNAcentral's name for it is "partial 16S ribosomal RNA". It matches the Rfam family "Bacterial small subunit ribosomal RNA", at positions 355 to 774 of the family's 1533-position model. The record is from RNAcentral.